UCCAUAUGUUCCUGUGCUUGCUAGAUUUGGCAGGAGGAGGGAUGCUACCCUUCAGAGCCCGUGUUUGUGCCAGUGCCUAAUGCCACGGCCGAGGACAGCGGAGUCAUCUUGUCUGUGGUGGUCUCCCCUGCUGAGAACCAAAGUGCUUUCCUGCUCGUCCUGGAUGCAGAGACCUUCCAGGAACUGGGGCGAGCAGAAGUCGGGGUGCCAAUGCCUUACGGGUUCCACGGCAUCUUCACUGCCCACUGAGGAACUCCUGGGCACCUCCUGGGACUCAGGGCUGAGCCAGCCUCACAAAGAACCUCUGCUGCCUUCACCUCCCACCUUUCCAUCACGUCUGGGAUGAAGGAGCUGCUUUUCCUCCACCACAACCUCCUGUAUUCCUAACAAAAUACAGCCAAGGAAGGCAGAAGCCCCUUUGCUCCCACUGCUUGAGCUACAGUUUUUUUACUGUCUUGCUAGACCAGCUAUAUCAGCAGUUCACAAAGGAUGCCCAGGGUGAGGCUUGCAAGGCAGAAAAUGGAAGCUGAGGUGAUCAACCCCUUCCUCUGGUGCUCUGAGGGGAGGAGAAGAGCGAUGCUGGGGGCUGUGGCUUUGGCUGAAGUAUGUGGAGCAGAAGAGAGGAGUAAAACCCAGCAGGUGACAGGUGGGCCCAGGGAAGGGGAGUAAAUCCCCCCUUGCAUCCAGGUUGCCUUCAGUGGAGUCCAGGGGGUAGAUGCAGACACUCACAGAAGCUGUGCUUGUGCUUUUUUCUGUACCAUAGCAGUGCCCUCAAAUAAAACCUUGGGAAGUUUU
Long non-coding RNA from Serinus canaria (Common canary), 795 nucleotides. RefSeq lists it as uncharacterized. NCBI's taxonomy places the organism in Eukaryota, Metazoa, Chordata, Aves, Passeriformes, Fringillidae. The record is from RefSeq and is a predicted model, not a curated record. The transcript is spliced from 2 exons.